Molecule: ribosomal RNA, 466 nt
Filed under: uncultured bacterium
Lineage: Bacteria
Description: partial 16S ribosomal RNA
Rfam family: Bacterial small subunit ribosomal RNA
Source: RNAcentral
GAUGAACGCUGGCGGCGUGCUUAACACAUGCAAGUCGAACGGAAAGGCUCCUGCUUGCAGGGGUACUCGAGUGGCGAACGGGUGAGUAACACGGGGGUGAUCUGCCCUGCACUUCGGGAUAAGCCUGGGAAACUGGGUCUAAUACCGGAGAGGACGAUGGGUUGGAUGCCAUUGUGGAAAGUUUUUCGGUGUGGGAUGAGCUCGCGGCCUAUCAGCUUGUUGGUGGGGUAAUGGCCUACCAAGGCGUCGACGGGUAGCCGGCCUGAGGGGGUGUACGGCCACAUUGGGACUUAGAUACGGCCCCGACUCCGACGGGUGGCAGCAGUGGGGAAUAUUGCACAAUGGGCGCCAGCCGGAUGCAGCGAGGCCGCGUGGGGGAUGACGGCCUUCGGGUUGUAAAAUCCUUUCGCUAGGGACGAAGCGUUUUGUGACGGUACCUGGAGAAGAAGCACCGGCUAACUACGUG